This is a long non-coding RNA of Astatotilapia calliptera (eastern happy), 2930 nucleotides long. NCBI's taxonomy places the organism in Eukaryota, Metazoa, Chordata, Actinopteri, Cichliformes, Cichlidae. The record is from Ensembl.
CCCAGAUAGCAAGGAGACAUUGAACAGAUGUUGAUUUUCCAUCUGAACCAUCAGAAUCGUCAGGAUUGAAAUGUCAACACAAAACCAAUGUUGAAACAACAUUGAAAUACUGAUGAAACCUGACACUGACAUUGAAAUAACAUUGAUUCACUGUUGUUCUGUCAUCGUUGAUUGUUGAUCUAUGUAUAGUUGACAAGGUGACAACAAUCACGUUGAAAAACCAUCGAUUUAUGGUUGAGCGGGAAAUUAAAGCUGCUACCACUUGGACUAUUCCACAGCACCCCUAUCACAUUGGUACAUCCCUCCAGGUAACCAUUGUCUUGUACAGUAGAGCGGGACAUUAGAUUUACUCUCAGCGGAAUUGACCGGAGAAGGUACAAGUUCAUGCACUGCACUGGCCUGCACCACGAUUAGUAUAAGACAGGGCAAAAAAGGACUCCAAAUUAAAAAAAAGAUAAAAAUGAAAGACUGGUGCAUUGUUCAGCACUGGUGGUACAGAAAUAGUCCCUAGUUCAUGGAUAAAUGGGGAGAAAUUGUCAUGGCCUCCAUAUCCUCUGUGAGACACAUUCAGGAUCCACGAUGCAGUAAAGAGGAGAGUUCAUCCUGGUUCAACAUGGCUCACCUAUGCACCAGUCCGACUUCUAAUAAGCCAUGACACAUUUCACAAAGCAGAACGCAGUCUUCAGAAAUAUCUAAGUGAACACUGUGAUACGUCUGACCUUCAGUCCGAAGCUGAAACUCAGACCAGUCAUAAAAGAAAGCACAAACCAAAUCCCCUGUACACAUAUAGUGACUCAGAGGAUGAGCAGCCCACAAAGAAAUGGUUUCCCCAGGCCCCUCGAGUGAAAAUACCAGACCUGACGAGAGCUGUUAACGAACUCCGUGAGGAGGUCAGAGCCAUCCGCAAUACCGGCUGCAAUGAAUCGGUAGAUGCUGGGGUACUGCCUCUGGAUUUGCCCUUGCACAACAUUGAGGAGCUAAACAAUGCAGAGCCAGCUCUUCAAUCACAAGAGGCAAAUAAGGCAAUGGUGAGACGCUUUGCCUUGAUUGGAAGGACCACACUGGAGGUGCGAGUCCGCCGUGUAAUGGCUUAUGCCAUUAUAAGCGAGCUGGCCUCGGUACUAAACUGGGCAGGGAAAAAAACCAAGGACCAGACAAAGCAAAAAAUGGCAUUUAAAGAUACAGCGCUCUGCAAAUGCAUAUUUGAUGGCCUGACGCAGCAGUUAGGGGCAAACUCUAUGUCCGAGUUUGUCUUUGCGCAAGCAGUGCAGAAAUGGCUCCGAUACGCCCCAGAUCGUUUGGGUGGUGCAGGACGCACAUCAUGCAUCCCCAUCCCAGAGUAAAAAAUUACAAACUUCUGUGAAACAUAUAAAUGUAAAUAGGAAACUGUCUUUUAAUAAAGUAUUUAGCAAACGAAACAUGACUAUUGACCUUUUUUUUUUUUUUCUCUGUUACAUCACAUGCAAUGCUUUCUUAUUUUAGGAUAUUAAUAUUGACAUGAUACAUUGUGAGACAUUUGGGGUUUUUUUUUUAUAAAGGGUGUCCAAUUUAAGGAAUAAGUACAAUUAUGUGUUUAGGUGGUUUAAGUAUUGAUGGAAACAUGCAGUAGUUUAGUAUUGGUUAAAAUACCUAUAAAGAAAGGUAGAUUUCCAGUCAUGAUUUAACUGUUGUUUUAAUAAAAAGCAACUGUGCGAAAGAGGUGGAAAAUCAACACCAUAGCUCAACAGUGUUUCAAUAUCAGAAUCUGACAUUGUUUCAAUGUCAACAGUAUUAGAAAAUACAACGUUGAAUCAAUGUCAGGUUUCAACAUUGAUUCAACAUCAAAACCUGACGUUGUUUCAACGUUAAAAAAGGGUGCAAGAGUGACGUUAGGUCAACGUCACACUUCAACGUUGAUUCAAUGACACAGCCUGAUAUUGACUCAACAGUGUUUCAAUGUUUCCUUGCUAUCUGGGUCAGGACUUACAACACAGAGUGAAAGAGUAUUUUUGCAAGUUGUCUUAGAGGUUAGCCAACUCUGUUCAUGUAGCUCACCAGGCAAUAAUGCUGAGUACAUACCUGGAGAAAAGUGCAUCCCAUGUUCCAUCUUUGAAGUCCCAGUGAUUAAAGCAGGAAAGCUGGAAAAAGUAUCUCUGAUGAAAGGGCUCCAAACCAAGCAGGAUAGUGCUGUGUAUCCUAAGGCUGAUUUAAGAGCAAUUCUGGGCUUUUAAGGAGGUUUGUGGGUGUGGGCAGGAUUGUGGGGGGUUGAGCUUCUUCCUUUGUGAGUCGCUUUACCCUACCAAGUUUCAACCAACUGGCAUCAUUUACAUUUCUUUAAAAUGCUGUUUCUGAGGUCUGAAAACAGAAAGUACAGUUAGAAAGCAGCCGUACAAAUGAGCUUUACCAAAUCCUUCCACCUCACACUUUAUAAAAUCUCAAAAAUGUAAUGCCUAAAAUUACUGUUUUACUUUCAAUUUAACCUCUUACCCAUUACUUUAGUGUCCGUUUUAACUGCUCUUAAAUUAACAAAAAAAAAAAAAAAUUCAACACCAAAUUCAGUUCGGUGGGUCGUUCAAUGGGUCGUUCAAUGGGUCGUUCAAUGCGUUGUUCAAUGGGUCGUUCAGUGCGUUGUUCAGUAGGUUGUUCAGUGGGUCUUUCAUUUGGUUGUUCUUUGGGUUGUUCAGUCAGUGGGUGAGUGAAAGCAAGAUUAAGUGGAAAGUGUCUAUGUGAGUGGAAAGUUCCACUCACAUAGAUCAUUUUUCAAAUGCAUCCUCACACUAAUUUGAUCUCCAGGCGUUCAGUUGCACCUUUGUGUAAACCCCCAAAGCAGCUUUUUAAGGUCAAAACAAGUUUUUCAAACUCUGACAAACCAUUAAAAAAGUCUGACACUGAAUAUCACGAUGACCACUGACCACUCGUUUUGUCUUCAUUAACUUUAUUAAAUGAAACAG